This 934-nucleotide long non-coding RNA is filed under the name Nicotiana tabacum (common tobacco). RNAcentral describes it as "long non-coding RNA (NTAB_LNC016098)". The record is from RNAcentral. Lineage: Eukaryota; Viridiplantae; Streptophyta; Magnoliopsida; Solanales; Solanaceae.
AAUUUCACCCUGAAAAUCCGGCGACCAAAAUCCGGCCAAAUUCCGGCGACCUCCCCGAACACCCUCUUUUGGCAUACCACCAUUUUUUCGGCCACUUGAAUUGUAAAAUGGUAAAAUCCUAUUCUUUCAUGGCUGAUUUUUUAUUUUUAUUUUUAUUUUUCAGAUUUUAUUUUGUGUAUUAUUAAUUAGUUUUUGAAGUUUGAAAUGUUAAAUUUUCUGUUUUUGCACUUGUUGAAGUAGUAAAAUAGUUUUGUAUUGAUAAAAGUGAGGUAGUGAAAAAUACUUAAGAGUAUAUGGUACUUGUUGGGUUGUUUAUUUGCUGUUGAAGACUCUUUGAGUACAACACUCAAAAGUCAAAUUGUUUGGUAAGAAAAUGUAGAUCUUUGGAUAGUGUUUGAAUAAAAGUUUGUCUUUGAAUAGUGGAGAGCAGAUUUGUUUGAAAUACUUGACAAGAUUUGAACCAAAAAGUCUGGCCUUUUGAAUUUAAGAGCAGAUUUUGUAGAAAAAUCUGUUAAAAAGAUUGAUUUUUAAUUUUUUGAAAUAGCUGGUUGUUUUGAUAUGGGGGACUCCAUCACACUUCCAAGGGGACAUUUUUUAUAAUUACUUUGUCACAAAAACAAAAAAAAUUCAGCAGUUGAACACAUGAAAAGUAAGCUGAAAUGGUGAGCUUUGGGAGUGAAUCUUAGAGUGCAAACUUUUAGAAAAGUAUAAGUCCUCUUUAGAGUUCGUUUCUGGGUUCCCUCUCUAAGUUUUCGGGUUAUUUUAACACGGAUUUGCUGCUGGUUUUAUGCUGCUUUAGUUGUUGAACUACUGUUUAUUCUUUUGCUACCAGGUAAUCCUUUAAGACUCGUAAUGUACGUAUUUUCAGCAAUGGGAACAACUUGAACAUGCUGCACCAUUUAAAUGUGUUUGAUGUGAUGAAUAGUUUGACAAC